This 492-nucleotide ribosomal RNA is filed under the name uncultured bacterium. RNAcentral's name for it is "partial 16S ribosomal RNA". It matches the Rfam family "Bacterial small subunit ribosomal RNA", at positions 29 to 507 of the family's 1533-position model. The record is from RNAcentral.
AGUGAACGCUGGCGGUAGGCCUAAUACAUGCAAGUCGAACGGCAGCACAGUAAGAGUUUGCUCUUACGGGUGGCGAGUGGCGGACGGGUGAGGAAUACAUCGGAAUCUACUUUUUCGUGGGGGAUUACGUAGGGCAGCUUACGCUAAUACCGCAUAUGUUCUACGGGUGAAAGCAGGGGAUAUUCGGACCUUUCGCGUUUGUUAUAGCCGAUGUCGGAUUAGCUUGUUGGCGGGGUAAAGGCCCACCAAGGCGACGAUCCGUAGCCGGUCUGAGAGGAUGAUCGGCCACACUGGAACUGAGACACGGUCCAGACUCCUACGGGAGGCAGCAGUGGGGAAUAUUGCACAAUGGGCGCAAGCCUGAUCCAGCCAUGCCGCGUGAGUGAAGAAGGCCUUCGGGUUGUAAAGCCCUUUUAUUAGGGAAGAAAAGCAGCAGAUGAAUACCCGGCUGUUCUGACGGUACCCAAAGAGAAAGCACCGGCUAACUUCGUG